UAAUUAUAAAUAUAAAUUUAUGGUAAAAUAAAAUUUAUUCAAAUAAUUAAUUUUCUUAUAAAUAAAUAUUUAAAAAUUUUUAAAAAAACUAGGAUUAGAUACCCUACUAUUAAAAUUUAAUUAAUAUAAUUUAAGUAUUAAAUGAUAAAUCACUAAACUUAAAAAAUUUGACAGUAUUUUACUUAAAUUAGAGGAAUUUAUUUUUUAAUUGAAAAUACACAAUAAAACUUACUUAAAUUACUGUUUAUAUACUUCUGUAUAGAAUUAAUUUUAAUAUUAUAUCAAAAAAUUUUUACAAUAAAAAUUCAAGUCAAAGUAUAACUUAUAUUUAAGAAAAAAAGAAUUACAAUUUUUUAAAAAAUAAGUAAUUAAAUAUAAUUUUAAUUACAAAAAGAAUUUAAAAUUAAAAUAACUACUAAUUUUUUUAUUUGAAAAUUAAUUUAAAAUAUGUACAUAUCGCCCGUCAUUCUCAAAAUUUUGAGACAAGUCGUAACAAAGUAAAUUUACUGGAAAGUAAAUUUAGAAU
RNAcentral lists this ribosomal RNA (526 nucleotides) under Histeromerus sp. QL-2013. RNAcentral's name for it is "partial 12S ribosomal RNA". Lineage: Eukaryota; Metazoa; Arthropoda; Insecta; Hymenoptera; Braconidae. The record is from RNAcentral.